UUUUUGGGGCCCCUUACACAGCUCAAGGUCUGUGCCCCAGGGCCUGACGGUGAGUAUGCCCAUAAGGCCCACCCAUAAGUCCUACAUGUUCCACCCAUGAGUUCGCUCACAGGGAGUGGAGUGUGUAGGGGAUGUGUUAUGUGUUACUGUAGAGUAUCUAAUGUGUGUGCUUAUGGAAUGUAGUGUAUAGGGAUACCAGUUUGUGUAGGUGAUGCAGUGUGUUUGUAUGUAAGGGA
Non-coding RNA from Pelobates cultripes (western spadefoot toad), 236 nucleotides. Lineage: Eukaryota; Metazoa; Chordata; Amphibia; Anura; Pelobatidae. The record is from the annotation of a GenBank genome assembly.